Molecule: ribosomal RNA, 478 nt
Filed under: uncultured bacterium
Lineage: Bacteria
Description: partial 16S ribosomal RNA
Rfam family: Bacterial small subunit ribosomal RNA
Source: RNAcentral
GAUGAACGCUGGCGGCGUGCCUAACACAUGCAAGUCGAACGGAGUCCAGCCUUUAAGACCUUCGGGUCAAAGAGGGGAAGACUGAGUGGCGGACGGGUGAGUAACACGUGGGCAACCUGGCUCAUAGAGGGGGAUAACAGAGAGAAAUUUCUGCUAAUACCGCAUAAGCACACACUGCCGCAUGGCAGAGGGUGAAAAGAGAAUCGCUAUGAGAUGGACCCGCGUCUGAUUAGCCAGUUGGCAGGGUAAGAGCCUACCAAAGCGACGAUCAGUAGCCGAUCUGAGAGGAUGAACGGCCACAUUGGGACUGAGACACGGCCCAAACUCCUACGGGAAGCAGCAGUGGGGGAUAUUGCACAAUGGGGGGAACCCUGAUGCAGCGACGCCGCGUGAGUGAAGAAGUAUUUCGGUAUGUAAAGCCCUAUCAGCAGGGAAGAUAAUGACAGUACCUGAAUAAGAAGCCCCGGCUAACUACGUG